This 406-nucleotide ribosomal RNA is filed under the name uncultured bacterium. RNAcentral's name for it is "partial 16S ribosomal RNA". It matches the Rfam family "Bacterial small subunit ribosomal RNA", at positions 30 to 526 of the family's 1533-position model. The record is from RNAcentral.
AUUGAACGCUGGCGGCAGGCCUAACACAUGCAAGUCGAACGAGUGGCGGACGGGAGAGCAAUGUCUGGGAAACUGCCCGAUGGAGGGGGAUAACUACGGGAAACAGGAGCUAAUACCGCAUACCAUCGGAUGUGCCCAGAUGGGAUUAGAUUGUAGGUGGUGUAACGUCUCACCUAGGCGACGAUCUCUAGCUGGUCUGAGAGGAUGACCAGCCACACUGGAACUGAGAAACGGUCCAGACUCCGACGGGAGGCAGCAGUGGGGAAGAUUGCACAAUGGGCGCAAGCCUGAUGCAGCCAUGCCGCGUGUGUGAAGAAGGCCUUCGGGUUGUAAAGUACUUUCAGCGGGGAGGCGUUACUCGCAGAAGAAGCACCGGCUAACUCCGUGCCAGCAGCCGCGGUAAUUC